CGGAUUUAUUGGGCGUAAAGAGCUCGUAGGCGGUUCGGUAAGCUGGGUGUGAAACCUCCAGGCUCAACCUGUAGACGCCACCCGAUACUGCUGUGACUAGAGUCCGGUAGGGGAGCGUGGAAUUCCUGGUGUAGCGGUGAAAUGCGCAGAUAUCAGGAGGAACACCAGCGGCGAAGGCGGCGCUCUGGGCCGGAACUGACGCUGAGGAGCGAAAGCGUGGGCAGCAAACAGGAUUAGAUACCCUGGUAGUCCACGCCGUAAACGUUGGGCACUAGGUGUGGGGUCUUAUCAACGGAUUCCGUGCCGUAGCUAACGCAUUAAGUGCCCCGCCUGGGGAGUACGGCCGCAAGGCUAAAACUCAAAGGAAUUGACGGGGGCCCGCACAAGCGGCGGAGCAUGUUGCUUAAUUCGAGGCAACGCGAAGAACCUUACCUGGAUUGAACUACGCAGGAAAAGCCACAGAGAUGUGGUGUCCUUCGGGGCCUGUGAUAGGUGGUGCAUGGCUGUCGUCAGCUCGUGUCGUGAGAUGUUGGGUUAAGUCCCGCAACGAGCGCAACCCUUAUCCUAUGUUGCCAGCACGUAAUGGUGGGGACUCGUGGGAGACUGCCGGGGUCAACUCGGAGGAAGGUGGGGACGACGUCAAGUCAUCAUGCCCCUUAUGUCCAGGGCUGCAAACAUGCUACAAUGGCCGGUACAAAGGGCUGCUAUACCGCGAGGUGGAGCGAAUCCCAUAAAGCCGGUCUCAGUUCAGAUUGAAGUCUGCAACUCGACUUCAUGAAGCUGGAGUCGCUAGUAAUCCCGGAUCAG
This 807-nucleotide ribosomal RNA is filed under the name uncultured Actinomycetes bacterium. RNAcentral describes it as "bacterial SSU rRNA". It matches the Rfam family "Bacterial small subunit ribosomal RNA", at positions 546 to 1352 of the family's 1533-position model. The record is from RNAcentral. Lineage: Bacteria; Bacillati; Actinomycetota; Actinomycetes.